CCGAUGUGGCUCAGUUGGUAGAGCAGCUGAUUCGUAAUCAGCAGGUCAGGGGUUCGAGUCCCC
RNAcentral lists this transfer RNA (63 nucleotides) under human gut metagenome. It matches the Rfam family "tRNA", at positions 2 to 62 of the family's 71-position model. From Rfam's summary of the family: Transfer RNA (tRNA) molecules are approximately 80 nucleotides in length. Their secondary structure includes four short double-helical elements and three loops (D, anti-codon, and T loops). The record is from RNAcentral.